This 292-nucleotide ribosomal RNA is filed under the name uncultured bacterium. RNAcentral describes it as "partial 16S ribosomal RNA". It matches the Rfam family "Bacterial small subunit ribosomal RNA", at positions 505 to 796 of the family's 1533-position model. The record is from RNAcentral.
GUGCCAGCCGCCGCGGUAAUACAGAGGGUGCGAGCGUUAAUCGGAAUUACUGGGCGUAAAGCGCACGUAGGCGGCUUCGUAAGUCGGAUGUGAAAUCCCCGGGCUCAACCUGGGAACUGCAUUCGAGACUGCGGAGCUCGAGUAUGGAAGAGGAAGGCGGAAUUCCAGGUGUAGCGGUGAAAUGCGUAGAUAUCUGGAGGAACAUCAGUGGCGAAGGCGGCCUUCUGGUCCAAUACUGACGCUCAGGUGCGAAAGCGUGGGGAGCAAACAGGAUUAGAAACCCUAGUAGUCC